UGAUGAAUGGAAAUGGCUCUUUUCAUCAGGCUCAAGCAUUACAAGGUAUGUCAAAUGGUCAAACAUCGCAAGGAAGCUCUAAAAUGGCCAAUGGACUGGAAAGGCAGUUGAGUUUUCAUAAGCAUAUGUCGGGAGGACAGUCAAGGAAUCCUGAUGAAACUAGAUCUCCUUCACACAGUGUUGGGUCUCAUGAUAUUGGUUCAAAUUAUAGCCUCGAGAAGAAACGAGCCAUGAGAGAGAAACAUGGUGGCAGCCUAUAUAGGAGUAAUAGCAAGAACAGCUUUUGAUAGGCGGGGCAGAUUUUGUUGAGACUAUCAUCAGCAGAAUAGUGUCUGAUCCUAUUCAUGCAAUGGCUAAGAAAUUCCAUGAAAUGACAGGACAUUCUGCAUCUCUAGUGAAGGAGAGUAUCCGUGAGAUCAUGUUAAACGUUGAUAAGCAAGGACAACUAUAUGCAUU
Molecule: unclassified non-coding RNA, 456 nt
Filed under: Hevea brasiliensis (rubber tree)
Lineage: Eukaryota; Viridiplantae; Streptophyta; Magnoliopsida; Malpighiales; Euphorbiaceae
Source: RNAcentral